Molecule: ribosomal RNA, 497 nt
Filed under: uncultured bacterium
Lineage: Bacteria
Description: partial 16S ribosomal RNA
Rfam family: Bacterial small subunit ribosomal RNA
Source: RNAcentral
GACGAACGCUGGCGGCGUGCCUAAUACAUGCAAGUAGAACGCUGAAGCGAGGAGCUUGCUCUUCUUGGAUGAGUUGCGAACGGGUGAGUAACGCGUAGGUAACCUGCCUUGUAGCGGGGGAUAACUAUUGGAAACGAUAGCUAAUACCGCAUAACAAUGGAUGACACAUGUCAUUUAUUUGAAAGGGGCAAUUGCUCCACUACAAGAUGGACCUGCGUUGUAUUAGCUAGUAGGUGAGGUAAUGGCUCACCUAGGCGACGAUACAUAGCCGACCUGAGAGGGAGGUCGGCCACACUGGGACUGAGACACGGCCCAGACUCCUACGGGGGGCAGCAGUAGGGAAUCUUCGGCAAUGGGGGCAACCCUGACCGAACAACGCCGCGUGAGUGAAGAAUGGUCUCGGAUCGUAAAGCUCUGUUGUAGGUCAAGAACGGGUGUGAGAGUGGAAAGUUCACACUGUGACGGUAGCUUAACAGAAAGGGACGGCUAACUACGUG